GACGAACGCUGGCGGCGCGCUUAACACAUGCAAGUCGAGCGAAGCGGCGGACGGGUGAGUAACACGUGAGUAACCUGCCUUAGACAUUGGGAUAGCCUCGGGAAACCGGGAUUAAUACCAAAUGGUCUAAGAUGGACUCGCGUCCCAUUAGCUAGUUGGUGAGGUCAAGGCCAACCAAGGCGACGAUGGGUAGCCGGCCUGAGAGGGUGAGCGGCCACAUUCGAAGUGAGAAACGGUCCAAACACUACGGGAGGCAGCAGUAGGGAAAAUUGCACAAUGGAGGGAACUGUGAUGGAGCGACGGCGUGUGAACUAAGAAGGCUGUCGAGUCGUAAAGUGUUUUUAUAUGCGAAGCGGUACCAUAAGAAAAAGCCCCGGCUAACUACGUGCCAGCAGCCGCGGUAAUAC
This 407-nucleotide ribosomal RNA is filed under the name uncultured bacterium. RNAcentral describes it as "partial 16S ribosomal RNA". It matches the Rfam family "Bacterial small subunit ribosomal RNA", at positions 28 to 526 of the family's 1533-position model. The record is from RNAcentral.